Molecule: ribosomal RNA, 222 nt
Filed under: uncultured bacterium
Lineage: Bacteria
Description: partial 16S ribosomal RNA
Rfam family: Bacterial small subunit ribosomal RNA
Source: RNAcentral
AGUAAUGUAUGGGGAUCUGCCCGAUAGAGGGGGAUAACUACUGGAAACGGUGGCUAAUACCGCAUAAUGUCUACGGACCAAAGCAGGGGCUCUUCGGACCUUGGACUAUCGGAUGAACCCAUAUGGGAUUAGCUAGUAGGUGGGGUAAAGGCUCACCUAGGCGACGAUCUCUAGCUGGUCUGAGAGGAUGAUCAGCCACACUGGGACUGAGACACGGCCCAG